CUUGGCCGAGAGGUCUGGGAAAUCUUGUGAAACUCCGUCGUGCUGGGGAUAGAGCAUUGUAAUUAUUGCUCUUCAACGAGGAAUUCCUAGUAAGCGCAAGUCAUCCGUUGAUUACGUCCCUGCCCUUUGUACACACCGCCCGUCGCUACUACCGAUUGAAUGGCUUAGUGAGGCUUCCGGAUUGGUUUAAAGAAGGGGGCAACUCCAUCUUGGAACCGAAAAGCUAGUCAAACUUGGUCAUUUAGAGGAAGUAAAAGUCGUAACAAGGUUUCCGUAGGUGAACCUGCGGAAGGAUCAUUAC
Molecule: ribosomal RNA, 301 nt
Filed under: Debaryomyces sp. UFMG-CM-Y343
Lineage: Eukaryota; Fungi; Ascomycota; Pichiomycetes; Serinales; Debaryomycetaceae
Description: partial small subunit ribosomal RNA
Rfam family: Eukaryotic small subunit ribosomal RNA
Source: RNAcentral